Molecule: ribosomal RNA, 499 nt
Filed under: uncultured bacterium
Lineage: Bacteria
Description: partial 16S ribosomal RNA
Rfam family: Bacterial small subunit ribosomal RNA
Source: RNAcentral
ACUCAAAUGAAUUGACGGGGGCCCGCACAAGCGGUGGAUCAUGUGGUUUAAUUCGAAGCAACGCGAAGAACCUUACCUGGAUUUGACAUCCCCUGACAACCCGAGAGAUCGGGCUUUGGUAGCAAUACCACAGGGAGACAGGUGCUGCAUGGCUGUCGUCAGCUCGUGUGGUGACAUGUUGGGUUAAGUCCCGCAACGAGCGCAACCCUUGUCCUUAGUUGCCAGCAUUCAGUUGGGCUCUCUAAGGAGACUGCCGUGGUGAACACGGAGGAAGGUGGGGAUGACGUCAAGUCCUCAUGGCCUUUAUAUCCAGGGCGACACACGUGAUACAAUGGUCGGUACAGAGGGAAGCCAACUCGCGAGAGGGAGCUAAUCUCAAAAAGCCGAUCUCAGUUCGGAUUGGAGUCUGCAACUCGACUCCAUGAAGUUGGAAUCGCUAGUAAUCGCGAAUCAGCACGUCGCGGUGAAUACGUUCCCGGGCCUUGUACACACCGCCCGU